Molecule: ribosomal RNA, 268 nt
Filed under: unidentified gamma proteobacterium groupE
Lineage: Bacteria; Pseudomonadati; Pseudomonadota; Gammaproteobacteria
Description: partial 16S small subunit ribosomal RNA
Rfam family: Bacterial small subunit ribosomal RNA
Source: RNAcentral
UGUCCUUAUUUGCCAGCACGUAAUGGUGGGAACUCUAAGGAGACUGCCGGUGACAAACCGGAGGAAGGUGGGGACGACGUCAAGUCAUCAUGGCCCUUAUGACCAGGGCUACACACGUGCUACAAUGGGGCGUACAGAGGGUUGCUAAGCCGCGAGGUGGAGCCAAUCCCAGAAAACGUUUCGUAGUCCGGAUCGAAGUCUGCAACUCGACUUCGUGAAGUCGGAAUCGCUAGUAAUCGCGAAUCAGCAUGUCGCGGUGAAUACGUUC